RNAcentral lists this transfer RNA (77 nucleotides) under Candidatus Adiutrix sp. RNAcentral's name for it is "tRNA-Pro". It matches the Rfam family "tRNA". From Rfam's summary of the family: Transfer RNA (tRNA) molecules are approximately 80 nucleotides in length. Lineage: Bacteria; Pseudomonadati; Thermodesulfobacteriota; Desulfarculia; Candidatus Adiutricales; Candidatus Adiutricaceae. The record is from RNAcentral.
CGGGGCGUGGCGCAGCCUGGUAGCGCAACUGCUUUGGGAGCAGUGGGACGUAGGUUCGAAUCCUAUCGCCCCGACCA